This 429-nucleotide ribosomal RNA is filed under the name Actinomycetes bacterium. RNAcentral's name for it is "Actinobacteria bacterium partial 16S ribosomal RNA". It matches the Rfam family "Bacterial small subunit ribosomal RNA", at positions 355 to 776 of the family's 1533-position model. Lineage: Bacteria; Bacillati; Actinomycetota; Actinomycetes. The record is from RNAcentral.
UAGGGAAUCUUCCGCAAUGGGCGAAAGCCUGACGGAGCAACGCCGCGUGAGUGAUGAAGGUCUUCGGAUCGUAAAACUCUGUUAUUAGGGAAGAACAAAUGUGUAAGUAACUAUGCACGUCUUGACGGUACCUAAUCAGAAAGCCACGGCUAACUACGUGCCAGCAGCCGCGGUAAUACGUAGGUGGCAAGCGUUAUCCGGAAUUAUUGGGCGUAAAGCGCGCGUAGGCGGUUUUUUAAGUCUGAUGUGAAAGCCCACGGCUCAACCGUGGAGGGUCAUUGGAAACUGGAAAACUUGAGUGCAGAAGAGGAAAGUGGAAUUCCAUGUGUAGCAGUGAAAUGCGCAGAGAUAUGGAGGAACACCAGUUGCGAAGGCGACUUUCUGGUCUGUAACUGACGCUGAUGUGCGAAAGCGUGGGGAUCAAACAGG